UACGGAGGGUGCAAGCGUUGUUCGGAUUCACUGGGUAUAAAGGGUGCGCAGGCGGCCUGAUAAGUCAGGGGUUAAAUGUGACGGCUCAACCGUCAACCCGCCCCUGAAACUGUCUGGCUUGAGUCCGGGAGAGGAAGGUGGAAUUCCUGGUGUAGCGGUGAAAUGCGUAAAUAUCAGGAGGAACACCGAUGGCGAAGGCAGCCUUCUGGCCCGGUUCUGACGCUCAGGCACGAAAGCCAGGGGAGCAAACGGG
Molecule: ribosomal RNA, 253 nt
Filed under: uncultured bacterium
Lineage: Bacteria
Description: partial 16S ribosomal RNA
Rfam family: Bacterial small subunit ribosomal RNA
Source: RNAcentral